Molecule: long non-coding RNA, 1780 nt
Filed under: Homo sapiens (human)
Lineage: Eukaryota; Metazoa; Chordata; Mammalia; Primates; Hominidae
Description: non-protein coding lnc-HDDC2-12:1
Source: RNAcentral
AACUCUCCUUGAUAAAUCAGAAGAAAAUAAGAAACAAUGUCAGAAAAAAAUCCAUUCAAGCCGAAUGUAAUUGUAAAUUCUUCCAUCUCCCUAGGAAUCAAUGCUCAUUUUCCAGACAAUAUCACUUCAUCAGACUUUUAUCCCAAAACUGCCAGACAGAAACAUUGGUAACCAUAGUUUUGAAAUAGAGACAAUAGCUUAAUAACCACACAGGUGAUAAGUUGAGCAAUGUUCUAAUGUUUCUUCUUCUUGAGUAACAUGUACAUUUUAAUUGCUUUACUUCUGAUUAAAUAGCAAUAUAAAUAUUUUCAGACUUGGGCAGGGAUACUAAGGACUAGAAAAGAAAUGAACAUAUUUUGAGGGCUAAGGAAAUUACCUAAACUUCAAAUAUCAGGUGACUGAAUUUUCCUCUAAGCAAUAGCAUUCAAUCUUCACUGCACAUUGGAAUCAUCUGAGAAGCCUAAAAACUACAAAUACCUUUGUCCAAGUAUAGGGGAGGAAGCCCUCUGCCUUGAAGGCGUCACUCUCUGUUACGCAUGCUGGAGUGCAGUGGCCAGAAUCUGAAUUUUAAUGCAAAAGUAAAAACUGUGGCAAUUACUGAUGUAUACACCAAUACUCCUAAUAAUAAUUAAAUUCAAGUCAUAGGUAACAUGUAUUGAAUACUUAAUAUAUGCCAGCCCUGGGCUAAGCUCUUUAUAUGGAUAGCUGCUUUGAGUCCUCACUUCUACCCUAAGAAAUAAGUAUAAUUAUUAUCCCCCAUUCUACAGAGAAGUAAAGUAGAGCUUAGCAGGAGGAAAAUGUGCAUUGUGGUGAAUAGUAUAAAAGACUCACUUUUAAUCCUUUAGACACAGCCAGAAACAAGAAGGAGUUUACAAUCUGGAUGGAAAGAUUAAACAAAAUUAAACAAUAUCAUAUGACAAAUGAGAAUUAGCGUAGGACCAUUUAUGAUCAAUUGCCAAAUACAUGAGGCAGGCAUAAAUUCUCCAAGUAUGCUGUGGGAAGAGAAGUCACUGGGUCCCAGGAAGAGUUUACGAUGGAAGUCGAGGAGGUUCCACAGUUCUUGCAGGAUAAAUAGAGCCUGCUUUGGCAGAGAUGAGGAGUAACACAUUUGAGACAGGAAAUAGAAAACAACACACUCUGAUCUCUGUAGAAAUGAAAAUGCCAUUCUCUAUGGGAUGAACAAUUAUAUAAGACAACAAUUAUAUGACUUUGGCAAAUUAUUUUCUCUCUCUAAACCUCAGUUCCCUCUGACGGAAAGUCAAUUACCUAAAGCCCAUUAGUUAUCACAGCAGGUCACAGGUAGGUGGCCAAAUUUUGAUUGAUGCACUAAAUUUAUUUUCAUUUUAAUACAGGAUAUGUAGAGCAAAACCAUUACCCAGAGUCUUGCUGAGCAAGUAGAGAAUGUGUAAGUGAAAGCAAAGAUGUGCGGUAUUAACACCACACCAAAGUGCACAGAUUUACUGAAAUCUGGGGAAAAUUUUCUCCCCUGAAUUCAAAAUACAGCACGUUUGAAGAAGUAUACAAUUCUAUAUAAAUGCAAUAUAUUCCUGAAGGACAACCAAAUGAUAAGAAGCUAACAAUGAAUAAUUUAAGAAUGCCACCAAGCUUCUAGCAAUGAGAAGUAACUUCCAAAAGUGGGAGGCUGAGAAGCAACUCCUAGGUAGAUUUAAUCCUAUGUGACAGCUACCUAAUUAUGUACCUACCAACUGUGAAUGACACGUAGCCAGUUCUCAAUACAUAUUUGUGGAGUUAAUGGAUCUUGUUGAAUGCCUACAUUUUC